AGAUUAAGUUAUUAAGGGCGCACGGUGGAUGCCUUGGCACUAGAAGCCGAUGAAGGACGUUACUAACGACGAUAUGAUUUGGGGAGCUGUAAGUAAGCGUUGAUCCAGAGAUUUCCGAAUGGGGAAACCCAGCAUGAGUUAUGUCAUGUUAUCGAUAUGUGAAUACAUAGCAUAUCAGAAGGCAGACCCGGAGAACUGAAACAUCUUAGUACCCGGAGGAAGAGAAAGAAAAAUCGAUUCCCUGAGUAGCGGCGAGCGAAACGGGAAGAGCCCAAACCAACAAGCUUGCUUGUUGGGGUUGUAGGACACUCUAUACGGAGUUACAAAAGUAUAUAUUAGACGAAUCAUCUGGAAAGUUGAAUCAAAGAAGGUAAUAAUCCUGUAGUCGAAAAUAUAUACUCUCUUGAGUGGAUCCUGAGUACGACGGAGCACGUGAAAUUCCGUCGGAAUCUGGGAGGACCAUCUCCUAAGGCUAAAUACUCUCUAGUGACCGAUAGUGAACCAGUACCGUGAGGGAAAGGUGAAAAGUACCCCGGAAGGGGAGUGAAAGAGAACUUGAAACCGUGUGCUUACAAGUAGUCAGAGCCCGUUAAUGGGUGAUGGCGUGCCUUUUGUAGAAUGAACCGGCGAGUUACGAUUUGAUGCAAGGUUAAGCAGCUAAUGUGGAGCCGUAGCGAAAGCGAGUCUGAAUAGGGCGUUUAGUAUUUGGUCGUAGACCCGAAACCAGGUGAUCUACCCUUGGUCAGGUUGAAGUUCAGGUAACACUGAAUGGAGGACCGAACCGACUUACGUUGAAAAGUGAGCGGAUGAACUGAGGGUAGCGGAGAAAUUCCAAUCGAACUUGGAGAUAGCUGGUUCUCUCCGAAAUAGCUUUAGGGCUAGCCUCAAGUGAUGAUUAUUGGAGGUAGAGCACUGUUUGGACGAGGGGCCCUUCUCGGGUUACCGAAUUCAGACAAACUCCGAAUGCCAAUCAAUUUAACUUGGGAGUCAGAACAUGGGUGAUAAGGUCCGUGUUCGAAAGGGAAACAGCCCAGACCACCAGCUAAGGUCCCAAAAUAUAUGUUAAGUGGAAAAGGAUGUGGCGUUGCCCAGACAACUAGGAUGUUGGCUUAGAAGCAGCCAUCAUUUAAAGAGUGCGUAAUAGCUCACUAGUCGAGUGACACUGCGCCGAAAAUGUACCGGGGCUAAACAUAUUACCGAAGCUGUGGAUUGUCCGUAGGACAAUGGUAGGAGAGCGUUCUAAGGGCGUCGAAGCAUGAUCGCAAGGACAUGUGGAGCGCUUAGAAGUGAGAAUGCCGGUGUGAGUAGCGAAAGACGGGUGAGAAUCCCGUCCACCGAUUGACUAAGGUUUCCAGAGGAAGGCUCGUCCGCUCUGGGUUAGUCGGGUCCUAAGCUGAGGCCGAUAGGCGUAGGCGAUGGAUAACAGGUUGAUAUUCCUGUACCACCUAGUAUCGUUUUAAUCGAUGGGGGGACGCAGUAGGAUAGGCGAAGCGUGCUAUUGGAUUGCACGUCCAAGCAGUAAGACUGAGUGUUAGGCAAAUCCGGCACUCAUAAGGUCAAGCUGUGAUGGGGAGAGGAAAUUGUUUCCUCGAGUCGUUGAUUUCACACUGCCAAGAAAAGCCUCUAGAUAGAUAACAGGUGCCCGUACCGUACCGCAAACCGACACAGGUAGUCAAGAUGAGAAUUCUAAGGUGAGCGAGCGAACUCUCGUUAAGGAACUCGGCAAAAUGACCCCGUAACUUCGGGAGAAGGGGUGCUCUUUAGGGUUAACGCCCAGAAGAGCCGCAGUGAAUAGGCCCAAGCGACUGUUUAUCAAAAACACAGGUCUCUGCUAAACCGUAAGGUGAUGUAUAGGGGCUGACGCCUGCCCGGUGCUGGAAGGUUAAGAGGAGUAGUUAGCUUCUGCGAAGCUACGAAUCGAAGCCCCAGUAAACGGCGGCCGUAACUAUAACGGUCCUAAGGUAGCGAAAUUCCUUGUCGGGUAAGUUCCGACCCGCACGAAAGGCGUAACGAUUUGGGCACUGUCUCAACGAGAGACUCGGUGAAAUCAUAGUACCUGUGAAGAUGCAGGUUACCCGCGACAGGACGGAAAGACCCCGUGGAGCUUUACUGUAGCCUGAUAUUGAAAUUCGGCACAGCUUGUACAGGAUAGGUAGGAGCCUUUGAAACGUGAGCGCUAGCUUACGUGGAGGCAUUGGUGGGAUACUACCCUAGCUGUGUUGGCUUUCUAACCCGCACCACUUAUCGUGGUGGGAGACAGUGUCAGG
Molecule: ribosomal RNA, 2267 nt
Filed under: Oenococcus oeni
Lineage: Bacteria; Bacillati; Bacillota; Bacilli; Lactobacillales; Lactobacillaceae
Description: bacterial LSU rRNA
Rfam family: Bacterial large subunit ribosomal RNA
Source: RNAcentral